This 253-nucleotide ribosomal RNA is filed under the name uncultured bacterium. RNAcentral's name for it is "partial 16S ribosomal RNA". It matches the Rfam family "Bacterial small subunit ribosomal RNA", at positions 524 to 776 of the family's 1533-position model. The record is from RNAcentral.
UACGUAGGGUCCGAGCGUUGUCCGGAAUUAUUGGGCGUAAAGGGCUCGUAGGCGGUUUGUCGCGUCGGGAGUGAAAACUCAGGGCUCAACCCUGAGCGUGCUUUCGAUACGGGCAGACUAGAGGUAUGCAGGGGAGAACGGAAUUCCUGGUGUAGCGGUGGAAUGCGCAGAUAUCAGGAGGAACACCGGUGGCGAAGGCGGUUCUCUGGGCAUUACCUGACGCUGAGGAGCGAAAGCAUGGGGAGCGAACAGG